Molecule: ribosomal RNA, 497 nt
Filed under: uncultured bacterium
Lineage: Bacteria
Description: partial 16S ribosomal RNA
Rfam family: Bacterial small subunit ribosomal RNA
Source: RNAcentral
GAUGAACGCUGGCGGCGUGCCUAGUACAUGCAAGUCGAGCGAACAGACGAGGAGCUUGCUCCUUCGACGUUAGCGGCGGACGGGUGAGUAACACGUAGGUAACCUACCUAUAAGACUGGGAUAACUUCGGGAAACCGGAGCUAAUACCGGAUAAUAUUUCGAACCGCAUGGUUCGAUAGUGAAAGAUGGCUUUGCUAUCACUUAUAGAUGGACCUGCGCCGUAUUAGCUAGUUGGUAAGGUAACGGCUUACCAAGGCAACGAUACGUAGCCGACCUGAGAGGGUGAUAGGCCACACUGGAACUGAGACACGGUCCAGACUCCUACGGGAGGCAGCAGUAGGGAAUCUUCCGCAAUGGGCGAAAGCCUGACGGAGCAACGCCGCGUGAGUGAUGAAGGUCUUCGGAUCGUAAAACUCUGUUAUUAGGGAAGAACAAACGUGUAAGUAACUGUGCACGUCUUGACGGUACCUAAUCAGAAAGCCACGGCUAACUACGUG